UACGUAGGGUGCAAGCGUUAAUCGGAAUUACUGGGCGUAAAGGGAGCGUAGGCGGACAUUUAAGUCAAGGGUGAAAUCCCGGGGCUCAACCUGGGAAUUGCGUUGGAGACUGCAAGGCUAGAAUCUGGCAGAGGGGGGUAGAAUUCCACGUGUAGCAGUGAAAUGCGUAGAGAUGUGGAGGAACACCGAUGGCGAAGGCAGCCCCCUGGGUCAAGAUUGACGCUCAUGCACGAAAGCGUGGGGAGCAAACAGG
RNAcentral lists this ribosomal RNA (253 nucleotides) under uncultured bacterium. Its description in RNAcentral is "partial 16S ribosomal RNA". It matches the Rfam family "Bacterial small subunit ribosomal RNA", at positions 524 to 776 of the family's 1533-position model. The record is from RNAcentral.